Molecule: ribosomal RNA, 253 nt
Filed under: uncultured bacterium
Lineage: Bacteria
Description: partial 16S ribosomal RNA
Rfam family: Bacterial small subunit ribosomal RNA
Source: RNAcentral
UACGGAGGUGGCAAGCGUUGCUCGGAAUCACUGGGCGUAAAGGGCGCGUAGGCGGGGAGGUAAGUCGGGUGUGUAAACCCUCGGCCCAACUGAGGAACUGCGCCCGAGACUGCUUCUCUUGAGUCCCGGAGAGGAAGGUGGAAUUCCCGGUGUAGCGGUGAAAUGUGUAGAGAUCGGGAGGAACACCGGUGGCGAAGGCGGCCUUCUGGACGGUGACUGACGCUGAGGCGCGAAAGCGUGGGGAGCAAUCGGG